ACGAACGCUGGCGGCGUGCCUAAUACCUGCAAGUCGAACGCUUCUUUCCUCCCGAGUGCUUGCACUCAAUUGGAAAGAGGAGUGGCGGACGGGUGAGUAACACGUGGGUAACCUACCCAUCAGAGGGGGAUAACACUUGGAAACAGGUGCUAAUACCGCAUAACAGUUUAUGCCGCAUGGCAUAAGAGUGAAAGGCGCUUUCGGGUGUCGUUGAUGGAUGGACCCGCGGUGCAUUAGCUAGUUGGUGAGGUAACGGCUCACCAAGGCCACGAUGCAUAGCCGACCUGAGAGGGUGAUCGGCCACACUGGGACUGAGACACGGCCCAGACUCCUACGGGAGGCAGCAGUAGGGAAUCUUCGGCAAUGGACGAAAGUCUGACCGAGCAACGCCGCGUGAGUGAAGAAGGUUUUCGGAUCGUAAAACUCUGUUGUUAGAGAAGAACAAGGACGUUAGUAACUGAACGUCCCCUGACGGUAUCUAACCAGAAAGCCACGGCUAACUACGUG
RNAcentral lists this ribosomal RNA (507 nucleotides) under uncultured bacterium. RNAcentral describes it as "partial 16S ribosomal RNA". It matches the Rfam family "Bacterial small subunit ribosomal RNA", at positions 29 to 507 of the family's 1533-position model. The record is from RNAcentral.